CCUACGGGAGGCAGCAGUGGGGAAUAUUGGACAAUGGGGGAAACCCUGAUCCAGCGACGCCGCGUGAGUGAAGAAGUAUUUCGGUACGUAAAGCUCUAUCAGCAGGAAAGAAAAUGACGGUACCUGACUAAGAAGCCCCGGCUAACUACGUGCCAGCAGCCGCGGUAAUACGUAGGGGGCAAGCGUGAUCCGGAUUUACCGGGGGUAGAGGGAGCGUAGACGGCCGCGCAAGCCUGGAGGGAAAUGCCGGGGCCCAACCCCGGAGCUGCGCUGGAAACGGUGACGCUGGAGUGCAGGAGAGGUAGGCGGAAUGCGUGGUGUAGCGGUGAAAGGCGGAGAUAUCAGGAGGAACACCGGGGGCGAAGGCGGCUUAGUGGACUGUAACUGACGUUGAGGCUCGAAGGGGUGGGGAGCAAACAGGAUUAGAUACCCUGGUAGUC
RNAcentral lists this ribosomal RNA (440 nucleotides) under uncultured bacterium. Its description in RNAcentral is "partial 16S ribosomal RNA". It matches the Rfam family "Bacterial small subunit ribosomal RNA", at positions 338 to 795 of the family's 1533-position model. The record is from RNAcentral.